UGUGAUCCACCUGCCUCGGCCUCCCAAAGUGCUGGGAUUACAGGCAUGAGCCACUGUGCCUGGCCAUAUAAUUUUUAAAAGAAGAUUCAUUAAACAAAGGAUCCACAAUAUAAUAAAAAAUUCCAAACUAUCAAAAGCCAAAUGAUUAAUUCUUGACACUUAGGAAAUAAAUGGAUUGAUUAUUUUGUUCCGAAUUUCAGAACAACCAAUAAAAUAAGAGAAAUAAGAUACAGAAUUUGCAAAUCAUUAGAAAGAAGUAACAAAGUUAUAAACAGGGAAGUAUUUUUAAAUGACACUUGAAAACCCAAACAAAAGAAGACAUAACACACGAUGGCAGCAAAAAGUUUAAACAUAUUAUGAUUACAAUUAUGAUUAGAUAAGUUCCCCUGUCAAAGACAAAGAACAGUAAUUAGUUGUUUAUAAGAACUACACUUAAAUCAAAUGACACACAAAGGUAAAAAUUGAACAAGGCAAUGAGAAGCAAAACAAUACCCAGAAAUAGAUUUCAGCAGAAGUGGGAGUCAUUCUUUCCAGUAUAGGUUUGAAUUCACAAUACCUGCAGGGCCUAAAAAAGCUCAAAUUAAAAUUUAAUGUAAAGUGGUCUCCAAUUAGUAGUUUCCCAAGAUGCCUUGCAGAAGAGGCAAUACAAAUUCAUUCUUUUUUUCUUUUCGCCACAAGGUGGGUGUCAUUGUGACUGGCUGCUACCUCCCCAUGAGUCUUCUAAAAUAAAACCUGCAAAUUCACAUCUUCCCCAUGCUUCCAGAGAAUGCAUAUUCUUCCUUUGAAAAAAGAAAACCAGGAAGAUUUGAAUAGAUAUUUCUCAAAAGAAGACAUACGAAUGGCAAACAGACAUAUGAAAAUGUACUCAAAAUCAUUGAUCAUCAGAGAAAUGUAAAUCAAAACUGCAAUGAGAUAUCAUCCGACUCCAGUUAAAAUGGCUUUUAUCCAAAAGUCAGGCAAUAAAAAAUGCUGGUAAGGAUGUAGAGAAAAGGGAACCCUUGUACACUGUUAGUGGGAAUGUAAAUUAAUACAAUCACUAUGGAGAACAGUUUGGAGGAUCCUCAAAAAACUAAAAAUAGAGCUACCAUAUGAUUCAGCAAUCUCACUGCUAGGUAUAUACCCAAAAGUAUAUUGAAGAGACAUCUGCACUCCCAUGUUUGUUGCAGCACUGUUCAUAAUAGCCAAGAUUUGGAAGCCACCUAAGUGUCCAUCAACAGAUGAAUGGAGAAACUGUGGUACAUAUACACAACGGAGUGCUAUUCAGCCAUAAAAAAGAAUGAUACUCUGUCAUCUGCAACAACAUGAAUGGAACUGGAGAUCAUUAUGUUGUUAAAUAAGCCAGACACAGAAAGACAAACAUCACAUAUUUUCACUUAUUUUGGGGAUAUAAAAGUCAAAACAAACUCAUGGAGAUAGAGAACAGAUAGACGGUUACCAGAGGCUAGGAGGAGGAGUGGUGGGGGGCAGUUAGUGAUGGUUAAUUGGUACAAAAAAAUGGUUAGAAAUAAUAAAUAAGACCUAGUAUUAGAUAGGACAACAGGAGGACUAUAGUCAAAAAUAAUUUAUUUGUACAUUUCAAAGUAACUAAAAGAGUGUAAUUGUAUUAUUUGUAGCACAUAGGAUAAAUGCUUGAGGUGACGGAUACCCCAUUUACCCUGAUGUGAUUAUUACACAUCGUAUGCCUGUACCAAAAGAUCUCAUGUACCUCAUAAAUACAUACACCUACUAUAUACCCACACAAAUUAAAAAUUAAAAAAAUUUAAAGAAAUUACAGUUUGUUGGUUUUGAAUAUUUGACCAAAUUUUUUACUAAGCACAGAUAGAUUGAAUAUAAUUUUAUUGUCCUUUUGACAUUAUGAUAAUGAAGGUAUCUACACAGAAGUCUGAGAUGAGAAAAAAAUGAUAUAAUAUCCACCUACUACAUAGUGGGUAGUUUAUAUACUAAAGUUAUUGUUAUGAGAAAGAAUGGCUUAGGAAUAUUAUUUAAAAUUAAUUAAGGGGUGUUAAAAAUAAAAUACCAAGUGUAAAAAUGACAAAGGCAAGAAGAAACAGUAUAUAAUGUGAGUAAAUCUUAAUCUUUCCAAGAGAGGAGACAGUACAUAAUGUCUAAAAUUGUUAAACCAUGAAAUAGAAAUAUAGUUAUUUUAUUCAUAAUUAAGGAGAUAACUACUAUAGCACGAAAUCGUGCCAAAAAUGGUUGCCUCUGGGAAAUGUGAUUAUAGAUAUUAUAAUAUUUUGGACUGUAAAAAUCUGCUUUUAAGACUGAGGAAAUACAAAUAGGACAAUAUUUAUUUGAAAUUUGUAUCCUCAGGGAGUGUAAAGAAAUUAAUGUAUCCACAAAAUAAUAAUAGCUGCUAUUUGAAAACAUAGUUUUCUUGAAAGUUAAAAUAGUAAUAGUCUUCUAAAAAUUUUGUUAGUUUUGGUUUUCUCUUUAAUCUGAGUUAUGUAGAAAAGUGCUUAUUUCAAAUUAGGUAGGCUUGUUUUAUUCCUUUUUCUGUCUUUUUUCUAUCAACUAGUGUUUUAUUGUGUUCAGAAAAUGCCAUGCAUUAAAAGACUACUUUUGAGAAUUUCUAGAGAUUUUCUUUGUUACUAAAGAGAUUUUUGUAAUUGUUACAUGGGAUUUUAAAAAGAAUGUAAAUUAUCCUUUUUGUCAAGUAUAAUGAUUUCUGAAACCUAGCUGUGUCAGAAUACUGUAUAAUACUGUAAUAGUAUGUUGUUUUUGGCUAUGUGUACUUAUUUCUUAGAGUGGUAUGUUAAAGCCUCGACCUUGUGACUUUGUUUAUUUCUCUCUCUACAUCUAAACAUUUCCAAGACAUGUUAUUUGCAAUACCAAGACCAUAACUAUUAUGUAUUUAAUCAAAAUAAAAUAUUUCGGCUCUCUAUAAUUCACCUUGAACUUUAUUUUGUUAAAUAUAAAUGUUGUUGAUUAUACAACAUUUCAUUAUCAAUCCCUAGACACAUUUCUAAUCCACUAUAAUUGUUUUAAAAUAAAAGGAGAAGGGAAGGUUGUA
This 3010-nucleotide long non-coding RNA is filed under the name Homo sapiens (human). Its description in RNAcentral is "HSALNT0074975". Lineage: Eukaryota; Metazoa; Chordata; Mammalia; Primates; Hominidae. The record is from RNAcentral.